AUGCCCCAAGAGGCUGCUGCUGCACCAAACGCCGUCGAUGAACAGGUUGCUGCAGGGGUCGGAAUCGAGUACGAGGAUGAGGCCUCUGCCUCCAACAUCACCACGGAUGCCACGGAACUGCCGCCUCCUCCACCGGUGUACGCGUCCAUGGAGUGGAUGCUUGCCGGACCAAGCGCCGGAUGGCUUGUCGAUGACCCAGAUCGCUACUUCUCCGACGAGGAACUCGCAGCGCCGCCUCCGCCGCUGAUGUACUCUUGCCCAGGCUACGGGUACGGAUCGGGCCUCCCGUCCCCCACGCCAUCUGACGAGGACCCGGAGCACUUCAAGCCGCCGGGCUACGACCCACUGCCGGAGUUCUCCUCGCCGCCUGCUGCAGUCCCUCUGGACGCGCCCAAGCCCCGACUCGUCAUCAACCUCCUGCCGAAGGUGAAGACGGAGGAGAUCGAGGCCGCUGCGCCGACGCUCGCUCUCCCAGCGCGCCGCGACCUCAACCUCCCGGCGCUGGAAGUUGAGGAGGAGGAGCACCAGGUAGCAGCGCGGCCGUCCGCACUCCCGACGCCCUCGCCGGAAGCCCGUGUGCUCCUCCGCCGCUUUGCAUCAGCCAUGGCUGUCCGCCCCGCUGGAACCCGCGCCUGUCACCCGUGA
Molecule: ribosomal RNA, 645 nt
Filed under: Triticum aestivum (bread wheat)
Lineage: Eukaryota; Viridiplantae; Streptophyta; Magnoliopsida; Poales; Poaceae
Description: partial small subunit ribosomal RNA
Source: RNAcentral